GUCACUUUCUCUUCAACAAAACCAGUUGUGAGAGCCUUUCAAAAAAAUCCGAAUUCUGUCACUUUUCCUUCCCCCAUCUUUGUAGCCCUCUUUCCAUCAAAUUAAAAGAAAACACAUAUAAGAGAAAUGGCGAGAUUCAAAAGGCAAAAUGAGCGAAAAACGGAAAAAUAAAGUGUUUGAAGGCUAUUCAAAUUUUCACUCUUUUGCUUCAAUUUUUUUGCUGGAACUUCGUCUGAUUUUCUGUCAAUUAGAGUGGUUUUCGGUCGUUGUUCAACUAUUUCGAUUGUCAUAUCGAUUCUGUGAUUGAUUCACUAAUACAAAGGUUCCUCUCUUUUCGUAGUUUGUUUUCUCAUUAUUGUUCUGGGUCACUAUGUGUUCGUUUGGUUUUUUGGUAUAAUAUGAUCGAGUUUUCAUCUGAGUGCGUUGAGAUUGAUUUGUUCUCCUGUUGAAUAUGUUUCAAGAUUAGUCUACCGUUCCCUUUUGCAUCUAUAUGCUCGAUUUGAACUCUUAAUUGUUAUUAAUUACAUCGAAUGAAUUAUCUAAGGGAAUGAUUUCACGUGGAUUGUUCUGUUUUCCCGGCAAGCCGAUGGUAAUGGUAGAUACGGUGAGUGUUUAAUUCCAUUAGUCCGUUAGAUAUAAUACCAUUGUAUCAGUGUUGAUUUUCUCAGCUAAUUUGGGUUAUUGUCAAUCUGCAUCUUCGUGUUGGUUUGAUAAAGAGUAAUUUUAUUAUCUUUGAUUGUUGGAUUGUUAUUGCUCAAUAAAUGAAUAAGUCUGGGUGAUUGUUUGCUUCAAAUAGCCAAGUCACAGUAUGAACAAAAGUUGGUUUACUCAAAGGCCGUCUCUAAUGUCGGUGAUUUAGUUAGGAAUUGUUGGAAAUUGUUCAAUGUUCUUGGAAAUGAUUUUAUUAAUUGUCACUGGGAACAUGAAAUACAGUGCUUUGUAUUGGAUUUUUGAAGAAUUCAGUUACGCUUUGCUUUAGAGUUGGGAUUAGCAUGACAGAUUUGCUAACUUUUACCAAUGGUUUUGGAUUGAAGAAGUCUAAUUUUCAUGCUUCAUUGAUGUAGUAAAUUGUGAGCAUCUCAAAAUGGAGGAUACAUGAAUACCAGUAAGUGAUACCAAAUCACUACUGUGAUGAAUGCAUUUUUGUGAUAUUUGUUUUUUCUUUCUAAUAUUAAAAUAUGUGAAGGAGCUUGUGACCAUGUUUGCAAAGUUUAUUUUUAGAAUCUGCAAAAUUGGGAUGCUAGUGCUUUACUCUCGUGCUAGACUUUGUAUUGGCCAUUUUGGAGAUUAAUAAUGAUUAAGUCGAGCAUUAGUUCUAGUUCAGAUUAGAUUAUGAGAACAAAAUCAGACUUAGAAAGAAAUAAACGCGAACACUUUUAGUUUGAUUUAGUAGAGUG
RNAcentral lists this long non-coding RNA (1397 nucleotides) under Nicotiana benthamiana. RNAcentral describes it as "long non-coding RNA (NBEN_LNC024103)". Lineage: Eukaryota; Viridiplantae; Streptophyta; Magnoliopsida; Solanales; Solanaceae. The record is from RNAcentral.